AUUGAACGCUGGCGGCAGGCUUAACACAUGCAAGUCGAGCGGGGUGAUGGUGCUUGCACUAUCACUUAGCGGCGGACGGGUGAGUAAUGCUUAGGAAUCUGCCUAUUAGUGGGGGACAACAUCUCGAAAGGGAUGCUAAUACUGCAUACGUCCUACGGGAGAAAGCAGGGGAUCACUUGUGACCUUGCGCUAAUAGAUGAGCCUAAGUCGGAUUAGCUAGUUGGUGGGGUAAAGGCCUACCAAGGCGACGAUCUGUAGCGGGUCUGAGAGGAUGAGCCGCCACACUGGGACUGAGACACGGCCCAGACUCCUACGGGAGGCAGCAGUGGGGAAUAUUGGACAAUGGGGGGAGCCCUGAUCCAGCCAUGCCGCGUGUGUGAAGAAGGCCUUAUGGUUGUAAAGCACUGUAAGCGAGGAGGAGGCUCUUUUGGUUAAUACCCAAGAUGAGUGGACGUUACUCGCAGAAUAAGCACCGGCUAACUCUGUGCCAGCCGCCGCCGUAA
RNAcentral lists this ribosomal RNA (503 nucleotides) under uncultured bacterium. RNAcentral's name for it is "partial 16S ribosomal RNA". It matches the Rfam family "Bacterial small subunit ribosomal RNA", at positions 30 to 523 of the family's 1533-position model. The record is from RNAcentral.